CUGGGGGUGUCAGGAUACACGGUGCAGGAGAGGGCUUGACCGUUGGUGUCACCAGAGACUGGUGUCGGCCGUGCACUUCCCUCUGCUCCCAUCCCGCAGAGAUGCUGGAUUAUUUCCACACUACACCCACUGUCUGUCCACACUUUAUUACAGACCCAGCCUCCGUACCAACUGAGGAACCCCAGGAUACUGCCGAACCCCAGGAAACAGCUGAACCCCAGGAAACAACAGCUGAACCCCGGGAGGAUGUGCCCACUGUCCCAGAACCAGAUACAAGCUCAGCCGAAGCCCAGGAAACACUCGAACCCCAGGAAACAGCUCCCAAGCCCCGGCAGGAUUUGUCCACCGCACGAGUACCAGA
Molecule: long non-coding RNA, 361 nt
Organism: Amblyraja radiata (thorny skate)
Lineage: Eukaryota; Metazoa; Chordata; Chondrichthyes; Rajiformes; Rajidae
Exons: 3
Source: RefSeq, a predicted model, not a curated record